ACCGGCGAUACCCGAAUGGGGAAACCCAGUGUGACUCGUCACACUAUCAUUAACUGAAUCCAUAGGUUAAUGAGGCGAACCGGGGGAACUGAAACAUCUAAGUACCCCGAGGAAAAGAAAUCAACCGAGAUUCCCCCAGUAGCGGCGAGCGAACGGGGAGGAGCCCAGAGCCUGAAUCAGCAUGUGUGUUAGUGGAAGCGUCUGGAAAGGCGCGCGAUACAGGGUGACAGCCCCGUACACAAAAGCGCAUGUGCUGUGAGCUCGAUGAGUAGGGCGGGACACGUGGUAUCCUGUCUGAAUAUGGGGGGACCAUCCUCCAAGGCUAAAUACUCCUGACUGACCGAUAGUGAACCAGUACCGUGAGGGAAAGGCGAAAAGAACCCCGGCGAGGGGAGUGAAAAAGAACCUGAAACCGUGUACGUACAAGCAGUGGGAGCACCCUUUGGGG
Molecule: ribosomal RNA, 448 nt
Filed under: Salmonella enterica subsp. enterica serovar Nigeria
Lineage: Bacteria; Pseudomonadati; Pseudomonadota; Gammaproteobacteria; Enterobacterales; Enterobacteriaceae
Description: partial 23S ribosomal RNA
Rfam family: Bacterial large subunit ribosomal RNA
Source: RNAcentral